AAUGACUCUGCUCCAGAGUUCCACCCCUACUGCUAGUUCUGUGCUCUUUCUGCUGCUGGCCCACACCCCCAACUGACACAGUGUCUGGUGUCCUGUCGGAACACAUCCUCUGCCAGCAGGAGCACUCAUGCAGUCACGUGUCUCUGCCAGCAUGAAGCCUCAAAGCUAAAAGGAAGCUGCCCAUGGGGGCUGGGAAGCUGGGCUUUGAGCAAGCCAAGAUAGCGCUCCAGGUGAUUUAGAAGUCCAUCUCUAAGUAGCCCAAGAAGAAAAAUGGGCAUAGAUUCGUUCACAUCACUGACAUGAACAGACUGGAAAGGACUCAGGAACAACUCGGCUGAGAAAUACCAACAGUGUCCCUGGGGCUCCAGUCCUCUCUCU
This 378-nucleotide long non-coding RNA is filed under the name Capra hircus (goat). Its description in RNAcentral is "lncRNA (ENSCHIG00000005153.1)". The record is from RNAcentral. Lineage: Eukaryota; Metazoa; Chordata; Mammalia; Artiodactyla; Bovidae.